Molecule: long non-coding RNA, 1259 nt
Organism: Cucumis melo (muskmelon)
Lineage: Eukaryota; Viridiplantae; Streptophyta; Magnoliopsida; Cucurbitales; Cucurbitaceae
Exons: 4
Source: RefSeq, a predicted model, not a curated record
AAAUUAAAAAUAAAAGGAGUUAUUUUUAUUAACUAGGGCAUUGAGAUGUGUGGAACUAUUCAUCUUCCUCAUAAACCCUAAUCUCAACCCCAAAUCAACCGCCAUUCGACCAGUCCAUCGACCGCCACAAGGAGCACCGAGCUGACAGCCAUCCCUUCAGCCACAACCUCCUUUGCGUUGAUCCUCUCGUGUGCUGACCCGAACGUGCAUCGUCCACCGAAGCCCAACCUGUCUUCGUCUCCUUCCGUCUCUGUCUCCGUCUCAGUCCCCGAGUAGUUUCCUUCGUCGUCAGUCGUCACAGCUUGUUGUCAUCCGUUGCUUCCUCGUCAGCCGUCGUAGCUGGUUGCCUCCCACCGCAUCGGUCCGUCAGCAAGCAACCCCCAAUCGUUCGAGCUGUGCUUGUGAGUGUGAGCCGCGCCCCCAGCUGAUUGAGCCGUCUUCACGCGCCUUAGCCAAACCCCAGCAUUCGAGUCGCGCGCACAAGCCAACCCUAGUGUCUGAGCUGUGCGUGAGCCACCCUUGUUUCCAUCCCGUACCCGAGCCGUUUUCUGCCUCUAGCUGAGCCAAGCGCCUUUGACUAAGCCAUUUGAGCCACCUAGUCUACUUUUGGUCCUUUUCACCUAUAUUUUUGAUCAAUUGGGAGUUGUACAGUAGAAUUUUUCCUAAAUCAAGAAUAAAGUUGAGUUCAUCUUCAACUUUGGACUUGACUGUUGGGAAGCUCGACUGUGACUGUUAAGAUAAUUUGGGUUGAGCUAAUCUCUAGGCAGAGGUAGAGGUAAGGGCAGAGGGAAGCUGACGAAAUGACAAGAAUAGACCGUGGCGAGCCAUAGGGAUCUUUUUGCUUCCGCCUUACAUCAUUGAUCAGAUACACAUUUUAUUUUAUUUUAUUUAUUUGUCUCUUUAAAACUAGAUAGGACCCAAGUUAGGAUUUUAUUUAAAAAUUUUCUUUACAUACGUUUGUUUGUGCUUUAAUGAGUAUUUGAGGUUUUGUUUUAUUUUCUAUUUUUAAAUUUAAGAAAUUUUACUUAUCUUUUAAUUAGUAAUGAUUUUGGCUUAGUAUAAGGAGUUAGGUCGUUACAGAAUUUACAAAUACAAUAUAUUCGAGAUAUUUGAUAUUUUGUUUGAUUUUUUAAUCUCAACAAAUACGCUGUAUUUGUAUAUGGGUAAUUUCCCUUCGUGGAGGGGUAAAUUAAGGUAAAAAAAUUUGGAAAAAUUCAUCUAGCAGGUAAUUUUUCCAUAUAUCAAAAUAAGUUUGGAAU